GCCUUAGGAUGGGCCGGCGCCUGAUUAGGUUGUUGGCGGUGUAACGACCCACCAAGCCAAUGAUCAGUAAGGGUGCUGAAAGUGGAAGCCCGAAGAGGGCCUCUGAAAGACGGGUCCCAGCCCUACGGGGUGCAGCAGGCGCGAAAACUUUACAAUGCACGAAAGUGUGACACGGGAAUCCACAGUGCUGCCGCCUAGUCGAGGCUUUUGCCGAUUGCAAAUAGAUUGGCGAAUAAGUGGUGGGUAAGACCGGUGCCAGCCGCCGCGGUAACCCCGGCGCCACGAGUGGGGUUCGCGUUUAUUGGGCCUAAAGCGUUCGUAGCCGGUUUGGUAAAUCUCUUGUGAAAUCGUUGGGCUCAACAGGAUAGCAUGCAGAAGACACUUCACAUCUAGAGAACGGGAGACGUCAGAAGUAUUCUGAGGGGAGUGGUAAAAUGCAAUAAUCCAUGGAAGACCACCGAUGGCGAAGGCAUCUAACUAGAACAGAUCCGACGGUGAGGAACGAAAGCCAGGGGAGCGAUCCGGAUUAGAUACCCGAGUAGUCCUGGCCGUAAACUCUGCGAGCUAGGUGUUGCAUAUUCCAUGAGAAUGCGCGGUGUCGAAACGAAGGUGGUAAGCUCACCGCCUGGGAAGUACGGUCGCAAGACUGAAACU
This 654-nucleotide ribosomal RNA is filed under the name uncultured euryarchaeote. RNAcentral describes it as "SSU rRNA". It matches the Rfam family "Archaeal small subunit ribosomal RNA", at positions 201 to 856 of the family's 1478-position model. The record is from RNAcentral. Lineage: Archaea; Methanobacteriati; Methanobacteriota.